CGAGCCGGCCGGGCGGUCGCGGCGCGAUCCCAGAUCUCGCCGAGGAACGUCCGGGCUCCGCAGGGCAGGGUGGUAGGUAACGCCUACCUGGGGCGACCCACGGGAAAGUGCCACAGAAAGCAAACCGCCGGGGCCGCGCGAGCGGCACCCGGUAAGGGUGAAACGGUGGUGUAAGAGACCACCAGCGCCCAGGGCGACCUGGGCGGCUCGGUAAACCCCACCCGGAGCAAGGUCAAGAGGGGCCACCAACCGGCGGCCCUGCGCGGACGACCGAGGGCUGCCCGCCCGAGUCCGCGGGUAGACCGCUUGAGGCCGAUGGCGACAUCGGCCCCAGAUGGAUGACCGCCUCCCCGCUGGCCGCGAGGCCACCGGGAGACAGAACCCGGCGUACAGGCCGACUCGUCCG
This 406-nucleotide RNase P RNA is filed under the name Streptomyces sp. 8K308. RNAcentral describes it as "Bacterial RNase P class A". It matches the Rfam family "Bacterial RNase P class A". Rfam says of the family: Ribonuclease P (RNase P) is a ubiquitous endoribonuclease, found in archaea, bacteria and eukarya as well as chloroplasts and mitochondria. Its best characterised activity is the generation of mature 5'-ends of tRNAs by cleaving the 5'-leader elements of precursor-tRNAs. Lineage: Bacteria; Bacillati; Actinomycetota; Actinomycetes; Kitasatosporales; Streptomycetaceae. The record is from Rfam by way of RNAcentral.